GGGGGGCAACCCCUGAGUAGAGUGGCGAACGGGUGAGUAAUACAUCGGAACGUACCCAGUAGCGGGGGAUAACCUCUCGAAAGAGAGGCUAAUACCGCAUACGACCUACGGGUGAAAGAGGGGGAUCGCAAGACCUCUCACUAUUGGAGCGGCCGAUGUCGGAUUAGCUAGUUGGUGGGGUAAAGGCCUACCAAGGCGACGAUCCGUAGCUGGUCUGAGAGGACGGCCAGCCACACUGGAACUGAGACACGGUCCAGACUCCUACGGGAGGCAGCAGUGGGGAAUUUUGGACAAUGGGCGAAAGCCUGAUCCAGCCAUGCCGCGUGAGUGAAGAAGGCCUUCGGGUUGUAAAGCUCUUUCGGCUGGGACGAAAAGGUCCGUGCUAACACCACGGAUCCAUGACGGUACCAGCAGAAGAAGCACCGGCUAACUACGUGCCAGCAGCCGCGGUAAUACGUAGGGUGCAGGCGUUAAUCGGAAUUACUGGGCGUAAAGCGUGCGCAGGCGGUUUGCUAAGACAGGUGUGAAAUCCCCGGGCUUAACCUGGGAACUGCGCUUGUAACUGGCAAGCUAGAGUGUGGCAGAGGGGGGUGGAAUUCCACGUGUAGCAGUGAAAUGCGUAGAGAUGUGGAGGAACACCGAUGGCGAAGGCAGCCCCCUGGGCUAACACUGACGCUCAUGCACGAAAGCGUGGGGAGCAAACAGGAUUAGAUACCCUGGUAGUCCACGCCCUAAACUAUGUCAACUGGUUGUCGGGGAAGCAAUUCCUUGGUAACGAAGCUAACGCGUGAAGUUGA
Molecule: ribosomal RNA, 797 nt
Filed under: uncultured beta proteobacterium
Lineage: Bacteria; Pseudomonadati; Pseudomonadota; Betaproteobacteria
Description: bacterial SSU rRNA
Rfam family: Bacterial small subunit ribosomal RNA
Source: RNAcentral